UACGUAGGGCGCAAGCGUUAUCCGGAAUUAUUGGGCGUACAGAGCUCGUAGGCGGUUUGUCGCGUCUGCCGUGAAAGUCCGGGGCUCAACUCCGGAUCUGCGGUGGGUACGGGCAGACUAGAGUGAUGUAGGGGAGACUGGAAUUCCUGGUGUAGCGGUGAAAUGCGCAGAUAUCAGGAGGAACACCGAUGGCGAAGGCAGGUCUCUGGGCAUUAACUGACGCUGAGGAGCGAAAGCAUGGGGAGCGAACAGG
This 253-nucleotide ribosomal RNA is filed under the name uncultured bacterium. RNAcentral describes it as "partial 16S ribosomal RNA". It matches the Rfam family "Bacterial small subunit ribosomal RNA", at positions 524 to 776 of the family's 1533-position model. The record is from RNAcentral.